RNAcentral lists this unclassified non-coding RNA (431 nucleotides) under plant metagenome. RNAcentral describes it as "partial contains 5.8S ribosomal RNA, internal transcribed spacer 2, and large subunit ribosomal RNA". The stretch from base 1 to 102 matches the Rfam family "5.8S ribosomal RNA", at positions 50 to 154 of the family's 154-position model. The record is from RNAcentral.
AAACUGCGAUAAGUAGUGUGAAUUGCAUUUAGUGAAUCAUCGAAUCUUUGAACGCACCCUGCACUCACUGGUAUUCCGGUGAGUACGCCUGUUUCAGUAUCAUUGAAAACACACAAUCAAAACAUUUUCUUUGGUUUGAUUGGCUUUGGGUCUAUCAAAAAGUUUGGCUUGUUUCUUACAAGCCAAGCGGCCUGAAAUAUAUUGUCUGGCUAAUUGCAUCGUUGAUGAUCGCUAUUAGACUUUGGCUUUUUUAAAUGAACUGGAGGUUGAUUAACCAGUUUUAGCUUUAGUCAAAUGGUCAUUGUAAAAAAAAUCUCGAUCUUGGCUAGGUGUUUAUAGCCGAAAAUUUUUUUUUGGCUAUAACCGAAACCAAUAUAAUCACAUUUAGUUAUCGAUCUGAAAUCAGGUUGGACUACCCGCUGAACUUAAGC